UCGAUACUGGGCGUAAGGGCACGCUAGGCGGUGAAUCGGGUUUGAANGUGAAANCUCGCCNAAAANAUGNCGGAAUGCUCUCGUAAACCACAUUCACAUUGUAGUGANCACNGAGGAGGAGGUGGAAUUUCUCUGUGUAGUGGGUGAAAUCCNGUAAAUAUACUAAGGAACNCCAAAAGCGAAGGCAGCUCUCUGGGUCCCUACCGACGCUGGNGUGCNAAAGCAUGGGGAGCGAACAGGAUUAUAUACCCUGGUAGUCCACCA
RNAcentral lists this ribosomal RNA (264 nucleotides) under uncultured bacterium. RNAcentral describes it as "partial 16S ribosomal RNA". It matches the Rfam family "Bacterial small subunit ribosomal RNA", at positions 552 to 802 of the family's 1533-position model. The record is from RNAcentral.